GUCGAGAAUCUUUUGCAAUGGGCGAAAGCCUGACAAUGCGACGCCGCGUGAGCGAUGAAGGCCUUCGGGUCGUAAAGCUCUGUUUGCCUGGAAGAAAUCUUGUGGUCGAAUAGGCCGCAAAGGUGACGGUACGGGCAGAGUAAGCCACGGCUAACUCCGUGCCAGCAGCCGCGGUAAUACGGAGGUGGCAAGCGUUGUUCGGAUUUAUUGGGUGUAAAGGGCUUGUAGGUGGUUGUGUAAGUCGAACGUGAAAUCCUUUGGCUCAACCAAAGAACUGCAUUCGAAACCGCACAACUUGAGUUCGGGAGAGGAGAGCGGAAUUCCCGGUGUAAGAGUGAAAUCUGUAGAUAUCGGGAGGAACACCAGUGGCGUAGGCGGCUCUCUGGACCGAUACUGACACUGAAAAGCGAAAGCUAGGGGAGCAAACAGGAUUAGAAACCCGAGUAGUCC
This 450-nucleotide ribosomal RNA is filed under the name uncultured bacterium. RNAcentral's name for it is "bacterial SSU rRNA". It matches the Rfam family "Bacterial small subunit ribosomal RNA", at positions 354 to 796 of the family's 1533-position model. The record is from RNAcentral.